AUACGGAAGGUCCGGGCGUUAUCCGGAUUUAUUGGGUUUAAAGGGAGCGCAGGCUGAUGAUUAAGCGUGACGUGAAAUGUAGCCGCUCGACGGCUGAACUGCGUCGCGAACUGGGUAUCUUGAGUGAGUUCGAUGUUGGCGGAAUUCGUGGUGUAGCGGUGAAAUGCUUAGAUAUCACGAAGAACUCCGAUUGCGAAGGCAGCCAACAAGGCCUUUACUGACGCUAAAGCUCGAAGGUGCGGGUAUCGAACAGGAUUAGAUACCCUGGUAGUCCGCACGGUAAACGAUGGAUGCCCGCUGUUUGCGAUAUACUGUGAGCGGCCAAGAGAAAUCGUUAAGCAUCCCACCUGGGAAGUACGCCGGCAACGGUGAAACUCAAAGGAAUUGACGGGG
RNAcentral lists this ribosomal RNA (393 nucleotides) under uncultured bacterium. RNAcentral's name for it is "partial 16S ribosomal RNA". It matches the Rfam family "Bacterial small subunit ribosomal RNA", at positions 523 to 918 of the family's 1533-position model. The record is from RNAcentral.